This 206-nucleotide long non-coding RNA is filed under the name Elaeis guineensis (African oil palm). RNAcentral's name for it is "long non-coding RNA (EGUI_LNC082000)". The record is from RNAcentral. Lineage: Eukaryota; Viridiplantae; Streptophyta; Magnoliopsida; Arecales; Arecaceae.
ACAUGUUUCUUUUGCUUUUUUUAUUGAUAAAAACCUAACAUGUUUCUUGGGCUACCCAAUUCUGACCUAACCGUUCUUUGAACUUGACCAUUCAAAGUGAGAGAAAAUAAAAUUUAGAUUGGCUUGGUCAGAUUGCUCAAACUUCAACUAGAAUCCAACUAAGCAUUGAAUCAUGUUGCCAUUUACCCACUAAAAUCCAACCCAGC